GCGCGAGGUCUUCCGGUGUUCAAAAACCGUUUGCACAGGUGUGGAGUUUAUGAGAAACACAAAUUAAACACGGACUGAGGAGAGUGAGGAGCUUCAGGGCUUAAAUUCUGCAUUAAAAGCUGCAGAAAGUGAAAAAGCCCUUCAUCAACAAAUGCUGUCAUCAGGACUGACCACAGAGUUGCAGAGCCUGGACCUUCUUCACUCCCACAUGAGACAACGUGAACUGCCUUGAACACAUCCACAAGAGACUUGGGAUGACAGAAGCGACUUCUCACUGCUAGAGUGAAGGUAGGGUAAGACUCUGGAAUCAUUACAGUUCUUUUGUUAGAGUGUUAUAAACCAUUUGAAAAACACUGCUUUUCUCUUUUAAAACAUUUUGUAACUAUUUUUUUAUAAGCCCCCCCCAUAAAAUCAGCAUGAUUCAUUCUAAGACAAAGUACCAGAAUAACAGCUGUAAAUCACCUUGUUAACCUUCAUUAGAGCAUUUUUUACAUAAAGUCAGUUAAUUAAAUGAAUGCUUUGCUAGAGCUGCCCCUGUCAACGGUAAGUGACAAUAGAGUUCACUAGCAAGGCACAUUAUUGAGAAUGCUGCAAAAAUAUGAUACUAUUUCAAGUAAAAAAGCUAAAACUCACAGUGUAGGAAACAAUGGUUGAAGAAUAUAAACAAAGCA
This 671-nucleotide long non-coding RNA is filed under the name Astyanax mexicanus (Mexican tetra). RNAcentral's name for it is "lncRNA (ENSAMXG00005020935.1)". Lineage: Eukaryota; Metazoa; Chordata; Actinopteri; Characiformes; Acestrorhamphidae. The record is from RNAcentral.